Xylaria digitata is the source of this 95-nucleotide non-coding RNA. Lineage: Eukaryota; Fungi; Ascomycota; Sordariomycetes; Xylariales; Xylariaceae. The record is from the annotation of a GenBank genome assembly.
GGACCCGUAGCUCAGCGGUAGAGCAUCUGAUUCCAGUGAUCCUGUUAUUGGAAACAGCAUCCAGAAGGUCAUCCGUUCAAAUCGGGUCGGGUUCA